RNAcentral lists this ribosomal RNA (2899 nucleotides) under Klebsiella pneumoniae. Its description in RNAcentral is "23S ribosomal RNA". It matches the Rfam family "Bacterial large subunit ribosomal RNA". Lineage: Bacteria; Pseudomonadati; Pseudomonadota; Gammaproteobacteria; Enterobacterales; Enterobacteriaceae. The record is from RNAcentral.
UUAAGCGACUAAGCGUACACGGUGGAUGCCCUGGCAGUCAGAGGCGAUGAAGGACGUGCUAAUCUGCGAAAAGCGUCGGUAAGGUGAUAUGAACCGUUAUAACCGGCGAUGUCCGAAUGGGGAAACCCAGUGCAAUUCGUUGCACUAUCGUUAACUGAAUACAUAGGUUAACGAGGCGAACCGGGGGAACUGAAACAUCUAAGUACCCCGAGGAAAAGAAAUCAACCGAGAUUCCCCCAGUAGCGGCGAGCGAACGGGGAGCAGCCCAGAGUCUGAAUCAGCUUGUGUGUUAGUGGAACGGUCUGGAAAGUCCGACGGUACAGGGUGAUAGUCCCGUACACCAAAAUGCACAGGUUGUGAACUCGAAGAGUAGGGCGGGACACGUGGUAUCCUGUCUGAAUAUGGGGGGACCAUCCUCCAAGGCUAAAUACUCCUGACUGACCGAUAGUGAACCAGUACCGUGAGGGAAAGGCGAAAAGAACCCCGGCGAGGGGAGUGAAAAAGAACCUGAAACCGUGUACGUACAAGCAGUGGGAGCACCUUCGGGUGUGACUGCGUACCUUUUGUAUAAUGGGUCAGCGACUUAUAUUCUGUAGCAAGGUUAACCGUAUAGGGGAGCCGCAGGGAAACCGAGUCUUAACUGGGCGUUAAGUUGCAGGGUAUAGACCCGAAACCCGGUGAUCUAGCCAUGGGCAGGUUGAAGGUUGGGUAACACUAACUGGAGGACCGAACCGACUAAUGUUGAAAAAUUAGCGGAUGACUUGUGGCUGGGGGUGAAAGGCCAAUCAAACCGGGAGAUAGCUGGUUCUCCCCGAAAGCUAUUUAGGUAGCGCCUCGUGAACUCAUCUUCGGGGGUAGAGCACUGUUUCGGCUAGGGGGUCAUCCCGACUUACCAACCCGAUGCAAACUGCGAAUACCGAAGAAUGUUAUCACGGGAGACACACGGCGGGUGCUAACGUCCGUCGUGAAGAGGGAAACAACCCAGACCGCCAGCUAAGGUCCCAAAGUCAUGGUUAAGUGGGAAACGAUGUGGGAAGGCACAGACAGCCAGGAUGUUGGCUUAGAAGCAGCCAUCAUUUAAAGAAAGCGUAAUAGCUCACUGGUCGAGUCGGCCUGCGCGGAAGAUGUAACGGGGCUAAACCAUGCACCGAAGCUGCGGCAGCGACACUAUGUGUUGUUGGGUAGGGGAGCGUUCUGUAAGCCUGCGAAGGUGACCUGUGAGGGUUGCUGGAGGUAUCAGAAGUGCGAAUGCUGACAUAAGUAACGAUAAAGCGGGUGAAAAGCCCGCUCGCCGGAAGACCAAGGGUUCCUGUCCAACGUUAAUCGGGGCAGGGUGAGUCGACCCCUAAGGCGAGGCCGAAAGGCGUAGUCGAUGGGAAACAGGUUAAUAUUCCUGUACUUGGUGUUACUGCGAAGGGGGGACGGAGAAGGCUAUGUUAGCCGGGCGACGGUUGUCCCGGUUUAAGCAUGUAGGCUGGUUAUCCAGGCAAAUCCGGAUAAUCAAGGCUGAGGUGUGAUGACGAGGCACUACGGUGCUGAAGUAACAAAUGCCCUGCUUCCAGGAAAAGCCUCUAAGCAUCAGGUAACAUCAAAUCGUACCCCAAACCGACACAGGUGGUCAGGUAGAGAAUACCAAGGCGCUUGAGAGAACUCGGGUGAAGGAACUAGGCAAAAUGGUGCCGUAACUUCGGGAGAAGGCACGCUGGUGUGUAGGUGAAGUCCCUGCGGAUGGAGCUGAGACCAGUCGAAGAUACCAGCUGGCUGCAACUGUUUAUUAAAAACACAGCACUGUGCAAACACGAAAGUGGACGUAUACGGUGUGACGCCUGCCCGGUGCCGGAAGGUUAAUUGAUGGGGUUAUCCGUAAGGAGAAGCUCUUGAUCGAAGCCCCGGUAAACGGCGGCCGUAACUAUAACGGUCCUAAGGUAGCGAAAUUCCUUGUCGGGUAAGUUCCGACCUGCACGAAUGGCGUAAUGAUGGCCAGGCUGUCUCCACCCGAGACUCAGUGAAAUUGAACUCGCUGUGAAGAUGCAGUGUACCCGCGGCAAGACGGAAAGACCCCGUGAACCUUUACUAUAGCUUGACACUGAACAUUGAGCCUUGAUGUGUAGGAUAGGUGGGAGGCUUUGAAGCGUGGACGCCAGUCUGCGUGGAGCCAACCUUGAAAUACCACCCUUUAAUGUUUGAUGUUCUAACGUUGGCCCCUUACCGGGGUUGCGGACAGUGUCUGGUGGGUAGUUUGACUGGGGCGGUCUCCUCCCAAAGCGUAACGGAGGAGCACGAAGGUUAGCUAAUCCUGGUCGGACAUCAGGAGGUUAGUGCAAUGGCAUAAGCUAGCUUGACUGCGAGCGUGACGGCGCGAGCAGGUGCGAAAGCAGGUCAUAGUGAUCCGGUGGUUCUGAAUGGAAGGGCCAUCGCUCAACGGAUAAAAGGUACUCCGGGGAUAACAGGCUGAUACCGCCCAAGAGUUCAUAUCGACGGCGGUGUUUGGCACCUCGAUGUCGGCUCAUCACAUCCUGGGGCUGAAGUAGGUCCCAAGGGUAUGGCUGUUCGCCAUUUAAAGUGGUACGCGAGCUGGGUUUAGAACGUCGUGAGACAGUUCGGUCCCUAUCUGCCGUGGGCGCUGGAGAAUUGAGGGGGGCUGCUCCUAGUACGAGAGGACCGGAGUGGACGCAUCACUGGUGUUCGGGUUGUCAUGCCAAUGGCACUGCCCGGUAGCUAAAUGCGGAAGAGAUAAGUGCUGAAAGCAUCUAAGCACGAAACUUGCCCCGAGAUGAGUUCUCCCUGAGACUUUAAGUCUCCUGAAGGAACGUUAAAGACGAUGACGUUGAUAGGCCGGGUGUGUAAGCGCAGCGAUGCGUUGAGCUAACCGGUACUAAUGAACCGUGAGGCUUAACCU